ACAAUCCCGCACGAGCGAAAAAUCCCAGGGAUGCCGGAAUCACGUGACUGGGGUGAGGCGAGGUUACCCGCGUGCCGGCUCUGCCCCCCGCUGCUGAGGGAACGCGCUGUAGGAACAAAACCUGGAUGGAAUCACUAAACAGACAUGACACCAGUUAUACAACAAAACUGCUGGGGCUUGUUGUAAAAGAAAACAGGUUACUAAACAACUUGUAACGAAACAAAAAAUAUUUUAAAUUAAGCUAGACUUCUCUUGGGAAGAAAACCAGCUGCCAUGCUGCAGUCAGAGAUGAAUUUUCCAGAUGUUAAUCUUUUCCCCAUGUAGUGUUGGCAGUUUUCCAACAAUACUGAUUUUUCACUUCUCUCAGGAAAAGCUAUGUUAAUAAAUAUACACUACAAUUUAAAUCCA
This is a long non-coding RNA of Malaclemys terrapin pileata, 408 nucleotides long. RefSeq lists it as uncharacterized. The record is from RefSeq and is a predicted model, not a curated record. The transcript has 2 exons. NCBI's taxonomy places the organism in Eukaryota, Metazoa, Chordata, Testudines, Emydidae.